UACAGAGGUCUCAAGCGUUGUUCGGAUUCAUUGGGUUUAAAGGGAGCGUAGGUGGCCAAAUAAGUCAGUGGUGAAAUCCUGUUGCUUAACAACAGAAUUGCCAUUGAUACUGUAUGGCUUGAGUAUAGUUGCCGUUGGCGGAAUAUGACAUGUAGUGGUGAAAUACAUAGAGAUGUCAUAGAACACCGAUUGCGAAGGCAGCUGACGAAACUAUAACUGACACUGAGGCUCGAAAGUGCGGGGAUCAAACAGG
Molecule: ribosomal RNA, 253 nt
Filed under: uncultured bacterium
Lineage: Bacteria
Description: partial 16S ribosomal RNA
Rfam family: Bacterial small subunit ribosomal RNA
Source: RNAcentral